Molecule: non-coding RNA, 114 nt
Organism: Acanthosepion pharaonis
Lineage: Eukaryota; Metazoa; Mollusca; Cephalopoda; Sepiida; Sepiidae
Source: the annotation of a GenBank genome assembly
UACGGUCAAUACACGCUGAAAACAUCAGUUGUCGUUCGAUCGUCGAAGUUAAGUAGUUCCAAGCCUGGUCAGUACUUAAAUGGGGGACCGCUUAGGAACACCGUGUAGUGCAGG